This 425-nucleotide ribosomal RNA is filed under the name uncultured bacterium. RNAcentral describes it as "bacterial SSU rRNA". It matches the Rfam family "Bacterial small subunit ribosomal RNA", at positions 356 to 773 of the family's 1533-position model. The record is from RNAcentral.
GGGGAAUAUUGCACAAUGGGCGCAAGCCUGAUGCAGCCAUGCCGCGUGUAUGAAGAAGGCCUUCGGGUUGUAAAGUACUUUCAGCGGGGAGGAAGGCGAUAAGGUUAAUAACCUUGUCGAUUGACGUUACCCGCAGAAGAAGCACCGGCUAACUCCGUGCCAGCAGCCGCGGUAAUACGGAGGGUGCAAGCGUUAAUCGGAAUUACUGGGCGUAAAGCGCACGCAGGCGGUCUGUCAAGUCGGAUGUGAAAUCCCCGGGCUCAACCUGGGAACUGCAUUCGAAACUGGCAGGCUGGAGUCUUGUAGAGGGGGGUAGAAUUCCAGGUGUAGCGGUGAAAUGCGUAGAGAUCUGGAGGAAUACCGGUGGCGAAGGCGGCCCCCUGGACAAAGACUGACGCUCAGGUGCGAAAGCGUGGGGAGCAAAC